Anser brachyrhynchus (Pink-footed goose) is the source of this 119-nucleotide unclassified non-coding RNA. NCBI's taxonomy places the organism in Eukaryota, Metazoa, Chordata, Aves, Anseriformes, Anatidae. The record is from Ensembl.
CGCAAAUAGAACUCCAGUUAAAAAUAGCCUUUGUCUAAAUGUGGAAAGUGAGUAAAUAUAGUAGCAGUUUCAGCUUACUAUAGAGGCUUGCAGGCUCCAAGUAACAGUGCUUAUUAUAG